RNAcentral lists this ribosomal RNA (253 nucleotides) under uncultured bacterium. Its description in RNAcentral is "partial 16S ribosomal RNA". It matches the Rfam family "Bacterial small subunit ribosomal RNA", at positions 524 to 776 of the family's 1533-position model. The record is from RNAcentral.
UACAGAGGUCUCAAGCGUUGUUCGGAUUCAUUGGGCGUAAAGGGUGCGUAGGUGGCGCGCUAAGUCGGGUGUGAAAUUUCGGAGCUUAACUCCGAAACUGCAUUCGAUACUGGCGCGCUUGAGGACUGGAGAGGAGACUGGAAUUCAUGGUGUAGCAGUGAAAUGCGUAGAGAUCAUGAGGAAGACCAGUGGCGAAGGCGGGUCUCUGGACAGUUCCUGACACUGAGGCACGAAGGCCAGGGGAGCAAACGGG